Long non-coding RNA from Oryza brachyantha (malo sina), 1090 nucleotides. RefSeq lists it as uncharacterized. The record is from RefSeq and is a predicted model, not a curated record. Lineage: Eukaryota; Viridiplantae; Streptophyta; Magnoliopsida; Poales; Poaceae. The transcript is spliced from 4 exons.
CUUCGUGUCUACAGCUCACUUUUGGAUGCAGUUCAUCUACAACCAGCACACAUGCUUUGAAAAAAAUUGUCCAAGAUCAGAGUGAACAAGUUUGAUCAGACUCUGAAGAAUUAGCAUCAUCCAACAGUGAGGAGCUGAGAUUGAGAAGAACGCUACAGGAACAGGAGCCUAAAAACCUAGCUAGAGACAUGGAUGAUCGAUCAGAUAGGUUGGCGUGUGAUCUCAUCCAUAUCUGCAAAUCCCCAAUCUGCUCAUAUCGCCAUCUAUCCGGGUGUGGAGUGGAUAUGGAGUUGAAAUGAGAACUGACACUUGGGUUGAGAGAGGAGAGGAGAGGCGUCUCUCUGCAUGAAUGCAUGGCCGUCAGACAGUGCAGUACGCCGGUGUGGGUGUGGCGAUGGAUACAUACCGGAAGGCAACGUCUCGGCAACGACCAAAACGUCGCCGUUGAGAUUAUCAUGCAAGACAAAAGGGGAAAUUUGAGGAACAUUGAGAUGAUAAGGUUUUUGUGUUCAUCAUUGGGGGUAUACUGUUUUCUUCUGAGGAACACUCAUGUUCGAUCUGCAUGAACAAGAACUAUUAGAUUCGUGCAAAAUGACAGGGACAACUAGAGACUAGAGUUUAGGCUGUUUGUAGGGGAUGAUGAAGAACUGACGCAGAGGAGAAUAUCAGGGUGAAAUGCAGAGAGAUGGGAGUGUGUUUUGUGGAGGAAAAUAACUCUUCCAAGAUUCCAGAAUUCCAUAGUUCAGUAUCAGUAAGAAAAAUGAAAAUUCACAGGUUACAGUAUGCAGCUAGCACAGUGAUGUGAACUUUGAAAAAUAUAAGUUGCAUAAAUAAUGCAGACAAGUUCGUGAAGAUUCUUCAUAAAGAUCAGAGGUACAUGUAUGUCACACGGACGUAUUCAGCGGGAUUUUGGUGAGAUCAUGGAUUCAUCGCUGGCAUUUAUCUCUUAAACAUAUAUGCAAGGGACACAUACAAAUGUGUUUUCGUGGUAAUGCAUGCGGGUACACACAAGAACAUGUAUACUAGUGGUUAUAUUGACUUGAGUAACACCCAAUAUAUUAAAGUUUGAAUCAAACUUUAGAAUAAAUGG